This is a non-coding RNA of Rattus norvegicus (Norway rat), 4388 nucleotides long. The record is from RefSeq and is a predicted model, not a curated record. Lineage: Eukaryota; Metazoa; Chordata; Mammalia; Rodentia; Muridae.
CUUUGUUUUUUUUUUUUGUUUUUUUUUUUUUUAAAGAUUUAUUUAUUUAUUAUAUAUAAGUACACUGUAGCUGUCUUCAGAUACACCAGAAGAGGGCAUCGGAUCUCUUUACAGAUGGUUGUGAGCCACCAUGUGGUUGCUGGGAAUUGAACUCAUGACCUCUGGAAGAGCAGUCGGGUGCUCUUAACCACUGAGCCAUCUCUCCAGCCCGCCUUGCUUUGUUUUUAACUGAUUAAAAUGAUAAAAUAUUGGGAGGCAAAUCUCUGACUCCAAGGUGAGCCUGAUCUAUAUAGUGAGUUCCUAGAAAGCCAGAGCUCCGCAGGGAAACCCUGCGCAGGGUGGGAAAGGAAGGUAUAAACUCACUGCACAGGCAUCAAAGCAGCCCUCUCCCAAGUGACAAGACUCAAGCAAGUGGCUUAAACCAACCAUUCUUUUUGAAAUAUGGCUCUGUUGCCAAUUUAGAAAAGACAAAACAAGUUUGGCCUAAAGAUUCCAGAAAGACUCGAAGAAAGAAGUUGGCAGACCAGUUCUCAGGUGGAUUUGGACCUACAAGAUCCUGUACUCAGCAACAACAAACUAUGUACAAUGAUUUAACACGGACUCUCCUCCGUCACUUAGGGUGUUCAAAGCCAGCCUGAGAUAGAGACACCCCCUGGGGGGGACUGGCUUUUGCAUUCAUCUCCCAGCCUGACGCUGUAAGCAAUCAUUCUGCGAAUGUCUAUCAGAAUCUCUGUAUGUGCUGGGUAUUUGACUAGGAACUACAUGGACAUGGGGGAGGGGCUUCCACCUCUCACCAGGGAGCUACACUCAACAGAGCAUCUGAUGAUAUGGUCCUUAACGGAAUUCCAGCCCAGCUUGCCACAGGGUGAUUAGUAUGCUGUUUUGCUACAGUGUUAGGGUAUUGGGCAAAUUAGGUGUUACAAAGUGUUUUCUGUUGAUGUAUUUUCAACCUAACAGCAGGUCUGUGGAGACAGGACUUUACAGUUAACUGUACAUAAUGUCAGGGAGCUUAAGGGUGACUGGAUGCUCAGAAGUGAGGUGCAAGGUAACCUUAGACCAAAACCUUUAACAAGAGUGUUUUAUACAUUUUUUAUUAGAAUGUGUGAGUUUUACAACACCAUAAAACCAAGACCACGAGUUGUUUUCUGCAUUGGUCAAUAGUUCCCAUGGAAACCAUGAUUUUUGCCCACUAGGACAUUUACUGGGUUUAUGUCUCAUAGUGUUUGUGCCUCAUUGUUUGCCCCAACCCCCAUUAACUAUAAAAAUCCCUAGGUUCUCAUGUCCUUUGGUGAACAUUUUCCUGUCUAGUCCUUCAUUGGUAAAAUAAGAGUUUGAUAUAUGUUAUCUCUCAUUUAUUUUUAAAGGCAGCCUCAUCUAGCUCAAGCUGACCUCGAACUCACUAGAUAGCUGAAGAUGACCUUAAAGUUAUAAUCCCCCUGCCUCCAUCUCCUGAGUGCUAGGAUUAUAGACCCACCAGCACAUCCAGUUUAUGUGGUGCUAGGGAUAGAAGCCAGGGCUUUUUGGAUUCGAGGCAACAGAACUGCAGUCCUCGACUUGUUCUUGAUCCCACCUUCCCAAUCACCAGGAAAAGACUCUUGGAGAGGAGACUCCUCCCACUAUGAUCCAAGGCUGGAGAACAACUGUAUUCCUGCUGGCGCCUGGAACAAUUCUUACCACGAGGUGGCAUCCUAACUUCAAGAAUCAGCAAUGGGGUGCAUGAGACCGGCAUCUGGAGGUUUCGACCUUGACAACCACUCGGAAGGGAGUCCCCAAGGACUCUUGAGAGAUCUUCAGGGGCACGAUCAUAUCGUACAGUUGUGGGACACUAGUUCUGUGUACCUUAGCACUCAGCUACUCCUGUAUCCAAGCAUUUACCGACCGUUGGUCUCAGUUAUCUGAGUAUUAUAACUCAUUACCCAUUUUCUUUCUGGCAGUGCUGGGCAUGGCACCCAUGGCUUUAUACAGAUUAAGCAAUGCACUAGCUCUAAGCUACAUCCCCACACUCUAUACCCAUUUAAGAUGCCCAUAAGCCAAGGCUCGUAGACCUGCAUGGGCUAACCAAGGUCAUCUGGGCCCAGAAAUAGCAAGUAAGUAGUCUAAACCUAGGUCUGUGGUCUGGAAAGCCAAAGUGCAGUGUUUUCCUCAUUCUGGCUGCCUUGGAAAGAGGCAAGAGGUCGGAGCCAAGCAGGCAGGAGAUCUGGCCAUGCCAUUGUCCUAGAAUAAGUAGAAGGGCUAGUCCUGCCAAGGAAAAGAUGUGGUUGGUCCCAGCCUUUUUCUUACUUCCUUGGGAUUCAGGUGACAAAUAAAUGCUGAAAGGUAAGAGCCUUUGCGUGGGUCUCUCCACUCUCAUGGGUCGUCCCCCUAUACAGCCCACAGUCCAUGAAGGCAGUGGAAACGGAAACAACGGGGGAGAGGGGGAUUUGGAAGCCCUGUGAGUUCUUACAAUGAAUGACCACACCAGGGCCAGCUAUCAGCAGGCAGAUCAACUUUACUUAGGGUGAUUCAAGGCUUAUAAGGUUUUGGGGGACUGAAGGUAGGAACAUCCAAGAUGGGCAAAAGUCACUGGGUGGGGACUUAGAGCACCAAAAUGCCUCAUUAGCAUGGAGAAGCAUUUUGGGCUUCUCAAGUACUGGCUGAACAGGCUCUUACCAGGAGAACUGAAACUGCUUCUGUGAUCUAAUUGAGGCUAUGUAACACUCCUCAGGUAGAAGCAUAUGUGGGGGCUUAGAACUUCCCAAACAUGGUCAGAGAAGGAGGAACCCCACUAAUGAAGAGAGUCCCCUGUUAUGCGCCAAGCCUCUCUGGUCAAUGGUAGACUUCAGCCUUAAUUAGCAGAGUUUCCCCACACGUUUGUUUAGAGCUGCAGUGUCUUGAACCAGGUCUCACAAGCAGAUGGUAACCUGGACAAGACUCUGCAAUUGGUGGCUUGGAUGCGAGGGCAAAAGACAAAAUGAGCUCUCCCCUCAUGUCCCUUUCCUCUGGGGUUUCCUGAGAGGCGAAAGUGCUCAGUAACUACAGCUUGGUUCCUGGCAUCCAAACUCAAGCCCAGCCCAACACACAUCCCUCUGCUGUCAGCACCCUGGCCUCCAGGACUUCCUUGUCAAGGUUGCAUUUGGUAAUGUACCACAGUACCUAGCAUGUGAGCUGCAGCAGAAGGACUUAAAGACAUGGUAGCUUACACCACCACCAUCACUAUCCUAAUCACCACUGUCACCAACACAACCAUCAUCGUGACAAUCAUUGGCAUUACCAUAACAACAAUCACCACACACCACACAACCACCAUCAGCAGCAUUAUGUUGGUUUGAAUGAGAAUAGACCCAUAUAGGCUCUUACAUUUGAAUGCUUGGUCCCCAGCUGUUGGACUAUUCAGGAAGGACUGGGAGAUAUGGUCUUAUUGGAGGAAAUGUGUCACUGGGGACAAGCUUUGAGGUCUCAAAAUCCCAUGCCAGCAUCCCCUCUCCCAUCCUCUCCCUCUCUCCCUUUCUCUCUUCCCCUCAACUGCCCUCUCUACCUUGUGCUUGUGUAUCAGAUGUGAGCUAGUGCCCCAGCACCAUACCUGCCUGCCUGCCGCCAUGCUCCCCACCAUGAUGGUCAUGGACUCACCCUCUGGAUCUGUGAUUCCUUCAAUUAAAUGCUUUAUUUUAUACGUUGCCUUGGUCAUGGUGUUUUGCCACACAAUAGACAAGAACCUAAGAAUCAUCAUCAUCACCUGCUUCAUUUCUAUUAACUGCCUAUUCUGGGUGGUGGAAAUUCCCCAGGUAGGUGCCUCACUCAGAAGUUAAUGAUGGUAAAACGAGCUCACUUACCUAACUGCUUUGCCUGAGCGUUCUUGAUUGAUGAGGUGGGUUAUUUUGGGGACAGAAAAAAACCUGCCAAGUUCUUAAGAGCAUUAUCACUGAAAGGUUUCUAUGACAACACACACCUAAAUGUUCCAGGGGAAGGGCAAACACUCAGGGAGGAGUUAGAAGAAUCACAAGAUGGGAAUCCUCCCACUCCUCUGUUUCUGGCUGUGCUCACCCAGCCCAGCUGUUCCAUCCCUAGGUAAGAUGCUUCAUUCAGAACUCUUUAAAUCCCUGAUACAGCUCUAUGGAGCAGUGCUAUGGUUCUGAUUCCCAUCCUACAGAUGAAAAAACUGAGGCUCAGAGAGGUUAAAGCUUCAUCAAGAGGAUUAGUCCAUGACCACAUAGUGGGGAACUUAGCAGCAGGGAGACAGACAUGGUGCUGGAAAAGGAGCUGAGAGCUUCAUCCUGAACCGCAGUUGAGGAUGUACCCUCUCAACCUUCUGCUGCAGCUGCCAUGCCAGCCUCUCACUGCCUUGCUUCCUUGGCAUGAUGGACUUCUGUCCCUUUGAAACCCUAAGCUGAAAUAAAUCCUUUCUUCUAUAA